AAUAAUAAAUUUGAUAAUUCUUCCUCCUCCUUCCAGUUCUUUCUCAUUUUCUUCCUCUUCUUUCUUCCAAUCAAAGAGGAUUUUUGGAGGACAACAGUCAAGUGGCUGCUGAGGAUAUUGGGAACUAUUCUUUGUUUACUAUUUGAGAGGAGGUUGCAUUUUAUGAGGAGGUGUAUGAUCAAGUUUUUGAGGGCUUCUAGAGAAGACUAAAGCCUUGUUUAGAUCAACCUUUCUGCAAAAGACUAAUGGACAUCUUUAAUCUUGCUCCAUCACAUAGAAUCUUCUUUGUCAAUAAUAAUGGAAAGGCAUGCAAAUGAAGACUCCAAGCAAGAUGUAGCUCAAAGUGCAAAAACCAUAAAAGUUGAAUGUGCUGAAGACAUUGGUACCAAAUUCCUUGAUUGUCCAUACCAGCAGAAAAACAUAUUCUCAAAUGAGCACUCAAAUGUCGACAAACCUUGUCGAUUUUCUGAGUUUGUGGGGUCUGCAGGUGAAUCUGCUAUUUUUGAUGAGUCCGUUACAUUUGCGGGGAUGCUAGUCAAAAGGACCUUCUUGCUGUUUGUAGCAAGUGCAAUGAUGGUGCAGAGCACAUUUACUGCAUGUGUACAAGGCUGGACAAAGUUCCUGAUAACAGCUGGAUAUGUGAAGAAAUGCAUGCUUUCGGAAGUUAAUGAGAAGAUGAACAAAUCAAGUUUGAGAAGCUUGUGGCAUGUCGAAACUACAUAUCUUCAUAUCAGACAUAUGAAGGUGGUGAAAUGUCAAAGGGUUCUGAUGUUAAGGUAUAUAAUAAAGGAUUGGAUUUUGAGAAAAGCAGAGGAGACAAUGUAGGUUCUCUACCAUCCGGUGAGAAAACUUCACGCACUGUAGCUUCUGCAUUAGUAACAAAAAAACAGCACUUGGUGGAAAAUCUGAGUCAUCUUUUAUAGCUAGAGAAAGCCAAGCUCAUCAGGCUCAGAAUUUCGGAAUAAAGCCAGGUCACAAAUGGUGUGCAGCCAAUGAUUUCUCUUCUAGAACUAGAAGCAUCCAGGAGAAAGCACCCUUACCUACUGUAUCAGGUAAUCUAAUUAAGUCAUUCAACGAUUCAGAUAAAAGACCAAAAGUCCUGCGGUUAGAUGAGCUUCCAGGAAGCCAGUUUUCCAGUGAAGCUAGCAACAAGAAAAAGGGUUUUGCUCUCAGAAAAAUGGGAAUUCUGUGUCAUUUAAUGAUGCAAGUUUUGGCCGCUCAAGUACAUUUGGUCAAAAAUGUAAGAGGAUUCCUCCAAAGGUACCUGAAGAUCGUGAUAAGAAGAGAUUGAGGUACAUGAGAGAAGAUAAUUCAACUGAAACGACAUCUACCUCUGACUUUAAGAGGCCUCAAGUUUGCUCACCAAUAGAUGGUUUGCGUGUUUCUACAUCAUCAAAUGAUAAGAAGUUUGGGUCUCAUCGUGAAAUGAUAUUGCCAGAGGCUUGUGGAAGCAAGUAGCGUGAUGCCAGAGCUGUUCAGAUUCCAUGAGACUCAGAGGUGAAUUUGAAUUUCAGAGUUCUGAGAGGCUACCCAGGGUAUCAUAUAGGAUUCAAGCACGCUUGUAUACUCAGGCAUCACCCAGAGUUCCUAAAGCAGUUAAGAAAUUCUCUGACAAACUUCUUUUGGAGGAGGUGUCUUGCUCAAAUGCAUGACCUACUCAGUUCCAGAAAUAUUGUCCCCUAGAUGAUAGCAUUGGGCUUUACUUUUUCUCGCAGAAGACAUUAGCGACUAUGGAAAUUAGGAGACCUUAUUGAAGUGUUUGGUUGAUUAUGACCUGACUCUUAGAGAAAACCAUCGGGGGAUUGAACUUCUUAUAUUCUUAUCCCACCUGGUUCCGAAGAGCUCCCAGUGUAUGAAGUGGAUCUUUACUGGUUUAUUUUAUUUCUUGAGAUUGGAUUUGACAUAGUCACUGAACUGUCAUUGCUUUGUUUUUAUAUCUUGAGAUUGGCUUUGACAUGUCCACAUCCAUAUGAACAGCUCAUUUACAGCUGGAGAGGAGCAUGUAAGACACUUGGUUGACACCCAGAUCUCUCAGCUAAAGUUGUAAUGUCUUAUAGCAUAUAUGUUCCCAUCUGAGAUCUUGUGUAUAGUUGUCUUCAGAUAAGGCCCUUAAGUUGUUUUGACAAAUAAUGGAUUCUAUUGAUUCACAGUUCUUUCCAAUGGAUAGGAACUUCCUAAGUCCAAAAUAUGGUUGUCUGGUCUGGAAUCAUUUUUUGAUUGGGAAAUGGAGAAGAAAUCAUAGUAUGGUCAAGGACACCAACGUUUGCUGGGAUAUUUGGACAUGCAUUCAUCUCUAUGGAAACGGUUUCCAUUGUGAAGUCCAGUGUCAAAUCUGGUCUUAUUGAGUGAAGAUCAUGAAGUAAAUGAGAGCCACCAGAGUAGCUGGAUGAUGCCAUUUUUGUCCUGUUUGAGAAGAGGUUAUAUUGAUUGAUUUUUUAUGGUUGAGGCUGCAAGCUAUCAAGAACUCUAGAAAAGUUGGAGGAGCAGAUUUGCUAUACAUUUUCAGCAGAGCCGGAUAGAGCUGAUUGCAAGUUAGCAGUGAAGUUGGUGAAAUUCCUGUCAUGUUGAUGUUAUGAAACAGAAUCAGUAGUAAGAACCUUGAUCGUUUCUAGGAGACACCAAAAGCUGCUACUAAGAGGGCUGUAUGACUGUCAUAAUUGCUGGGGUGGGGUAGAAAUGCCAUAACUCGAUUGAAGUAGUAAUGAAUAGGGAGUUGCCUGUGUCUUGAUUCAUUCAGGGCAUAAUGUCCAUUAGGAUAAAUUAGUGAUGGACCACUAUGGCUGAAAGUGGAUUCAGGGCAGCAGAAGUUUCUGGCAUGUUGCCGCUAAUA
This is an RNA transcript of Coffea arabica (coffee), 2830 nucleotides long. RefSeq lists it as uncharacterized. Lineage: Eukaryota; Viridiplantae; Streptophyta; Magnoliopsida; Gentianales; Rubiaceae. The record is from RefSeq and is a predicted model, not a curated record.